AUACGGAGGAUCCGAGCGUUAUCCGGAUUUAUUGGGUUUAAAGGGUGCGCAGGCGGGAGAUUAAGUCGGCGGUGAAAUUUUUCAGCUCCACUGUAAAAGUGCCCUCGGAACCGGGUUCCUUUAGUGUAGAUGAAGGUGGCGGAAUUUGUGGUGUAGCGGUGAAAUGCAUAGAUAUCACGAGGAACUCCGAUUGCGCAGGCAGCUUACUAAACUACUACUGACGCUCAGGCACGAAGGCGUGGGGAUCAAACAGGAUUAGAUACCCUGGUAGUCCACGCAGUAAACGAUGAUUACUAGCUGUUUGCGAUACAAUGUAAGCGGCUGAGCGAAAGCGUUAAGUAAUCCACCUGGGGAGUACGGUCGCAAGGCUGAAACUUAAAGGAAUUGGCGGGG
RNAcentral lists this ribosomal RNA (393 nucleotides) under uncultured bacterium. RNAcentral describes it as "partial 16S ribosomal RNA". It matches the Rfam family "Bacterial small subunit ribosomal RNA", at positions 523 to 918 of the family's 1533-position model. The record is from RNAcentral.